Long non-coding RNA from Catharus ustulatus (Swainson's thrush), 5023 nucleotides. RefSeq lists it as uncharacterized. The transcript is spliced from 3 exons. The record is from RefSeq and is a predicted model, not a curated record. NCBI's taxonomy places the organism in Eukaryota, Metazoa, Chordata, Aves, Passeriformes, Turdidae.
CAGAGCCUGGAGAGCGGGAAGAGACCGCACUGGGAUUGCUGCUCUGGUUUGUUGGGGCCUGGAGAGCGGAAAGAGACCGCACUGGGAUUGCUGCUCUGGUUUGUCGGGGCCUGGAGAGCGGGAAGAGACCGCACUGGGAUUGCUGCUCUGGUUUGUUGGGGCCUGGAGAGCGGGAAGAGACCACACUGGGAUUGCUGCUCUGGUUUGUUGGGGCCUGGAGAGAGGGAACAGACUGCACUGGGAUUGCUGCUCUGGUUUGUUGGGGCCUGGAGAGAGGGAACAGACUGCACUGGGAUUGUUGCUCUGGUUUGUUGGAGCCUGGAGAGAGGGAACAGACUGCACUGGGAUUGCUGAUCUGGUUUGUCGGGGCCAGCACUGGCAUUGUUCAUUUUCUGCUUAUAUAUACACACACUGGAAAAAACUGAUACUCCUUUGCCCACAUCUUUGUCUGAAAGGAGUCAUUCAGAGUGGUUUUCCUCUAAAUUUAAGAAUAAUAUGCCAUGACUCAGAAUAAAAUAAGAAUGUAGCCCAUCAUCAUGAAUCUUUCUCUGGAAAAACAGCUGAAAAUCCUCUGCAAAUUCCAUCUUAAUCUGCUGAGAAGUCUGGGCAUUACUUUUCCAGAGAAUUUGCUGAAAAGAAAGAAAAAGGAGGAAGGCCCAUCUCUAAUGACUCUAAUGGCAAAACCGUUUGCCUGCAAGGACUUUUCAUAGAUGACACAAGAAUUUACUGUUAAUGUCUUUGGGUCAGAUCAUUGCAUGAUACAAAUUGGAAUAUACCAUUCUGUAACUCAAACUUUCUAUUUCAAUUAAUGCUUCAGAGAUUUUCUAUGAAGUGCCUCCAUUUGCACAAAAAAAAUGAUGAGGCUAUGACCAUGCUAAAAUGUACCAGGAUGUAACAGGAUACAGGCUGGGAUUUUCAGUGGGUGGAAGCCAGUCUAUCUUCUAUAUUUAAAUGAUUUAUAUAGGCUUUAUAUAGCUGGCAUGAACUGCCUAUGCUUUUCAGCAAGGACAAAGGCAGGGUUAAUCAUUCCUGUGCAAGGACUCCCAGCCAGGUAUUUCUCAUUCUCACCUAUUCCUUUCUCCAAAACAAAAAAUCCAAUCUGUGACAUUCAGCAAGUACUCAAUGACAAGCAUGGUAGCAGAAAAACCUCAGAAAGCCUAAGAUUCACCAGGUAGGUAAAGAAGGACUGAAGAAGUGCCCUUUCCAGGAUUCUGAUGGGCAGCAUGAACAAGCAAAGCUCUUCUUUGCUUGCAUGCUGGCUUUUUACUGUGAAUAUCCUGAGCACAAACCAGCAUAAAUGAAAAUAUACCAAACUACUGGUAGAAAUGUACAUGCCCUUUACCUGUUACUCGGAAACGUCUCUGUACAAUGAGCAGAGAUCAGACCUUGCUACAUGAAAUACAUAUAGCAUAUGCAAGUAUACCAGUUAAUAUUUCUGUCUGAAAACCUAAACAAAUAUGUUACAUUUUAUUGUCCAGAAAACCAAACACUGACUCCCAGCAGGUAGGACCGUAACUUUUGUUGCAUGGGACUCUGCAGGAAUCCUGAACUUCAAGCAAGCCAUGAGAAUUGUUUCUCAGCAAGUCCCAGCUUUACAGUAAAAGCAACAAAGGUAGGUGACUGGAAGAAAAAGUGCAACUGUCACGGCAAGAUGGACAUUAUUUUCAAAAGAAAAGUAGUUUCUCUGUUCCACAGCUUUUGUUUUAUUCUCAUCUCUGCUGUAGUGCAAAAUGGUAGAUUCAAGAUUAAAGGCUGUAUUCAGUGCCACAAGAACUCCUUUACCUUUGUUAGCAGCCAGCAAAGAAUUUGCAGAAACCUUUCAGACUCUUUCCAAAUGGGACUGGGUUUGGGCUAGAUCUACUUUGAAAAUUGUUGCAGUGCUAUCUUGGCCCAUUUCAAGUGCAUUUAAAAAAACUGUAAUCUGGGAUUUGUACUGCUGGUCUGGUAAGUCAGACAUCCUCAAGAAGCCCACCUAUUAGACCUCUAGCUUCUCGAGUUGAACAACACCCUCAAUAGCAACAAAUUUCCACUGUCCCACCCAACCCUGUGAUGGGUCAUGAUUCUCUGGAGGUCUGUCUGUUUUGUGGUGCUGGAGUAAUCCUGCCACGGAAGAAUAUAGUUCUGGAGGGCCAAGACUUGCAAGCUUCCAAAAUGUCUUAAAAGUAUCUGGAGUGGAUUCCCUUUUCUUGUGCAAGAUGAGCAGACAGCGUAGUAGAUUUUGUUCUAUUAAUAAAAGUCAGCUCUGCUAGGGGGGUCUUAUUAUCUGCCUGUUCUUAAAUAUUAACAAGACCACCAUCUUUGCAUUUCAAAAAACCCCCCACAUUUUGCAAAUAUAUUUAUUGGAAGAACUGUUUAGCUAACUUUAGCCUAUGCUUCAGAUGAAUACAUUUCAGGCAGAGCAAAGCAGUAAAGCACAAAGCAGGCUUGUAAAGCAACACCACAAUCCCAAAUGUAUAAUGUAUAGCUCUAAAAUAAGCAGAUUUUUCUUUGAUUAUUUGAAUGUUGUCCAGGAAAGUGAGUCUUCAUGGAAGAAAUUACUUUUUCUAUGCAUUGUGAAGAAAAAUUUCCUAGAAUAUGGGCAGGGCAAGAACUAAAAUCCCUGAUGAGUGUUAUUUGUUAUGAAAUAUAAUGCUUUAUAGUUCUUUGAAGGAGGGAUUUCCUUGCAACAAGGACUGUACUAUUUCAACAGUUAUUUUAAUAAGAACAUGUCCAAAUGCAUUUGUUUAGCCGUUUUCUCUCCUCUUUUAUGGAGCAGGAAGUUUCAGAAUAUAUGGUUUUUGAAGAGCCUAUGUGGAAAUUGCACCGAAAAGACGUACUUUGAAGUAAUGGCAUUCUUAUAUUUUAUCACACUGAAAUAACAAUUUGAAACACAAGGUUUGCUUCCAUAUGUUGAUUCAACACAAUUUUUUCGUAAGCUUUUCGUCUAUCUUCACAAAAAUCAGAACAUCAGUAACCUCAGAAAAUACCAGCACUGUACCCCAAAAUACAAAAUGUCUGUGUGAUCCCAUUAUCUCUAGGAAACUGCUCCAGUGGAAGGAAUUAGCCAUUGUCUGAGUUCAUUAAAAAUUCCUUCCUAUUGGGUUUAAUUCUUUAUUGCUUUCUGGGAGAGGAAGUUUUUCUACAUUAUGUAUGUUUUUUUUUCAUCAUGGAGUAGAGACACCACAGUUCUUGCUUCAGUUUUGUACAGAGAAAAUUGAAAAUGGAAAAACAUCCAGAAUUUGCUGAGGUUCUGGAAUCUAAUGGGGAAGGCUGACCUUUUGCAUGUGGGAUGAAUAUAUCACACAGAAAUUUCAGGUUGGUGCCAACGCCAGCACUGAUUUUUUUCAGUUCAGCUGCGGGUUGGCAAUGAGCUAAUCCAAAGCUGCCAAAUUCAUUUCUCAAUUGGUCCUGACUCCAUGCCACUGCGAAGAUGUGAGGUGCACACACAGCUGAUUUGAUCAUGUCUCCUCCCUAGAAACUUAUCUGGCAUUAGGCAGUUUAUGACUAUCAAAUAUUUAUUAUGUUGUCAGAGGACAAAGCCAGAGAUAAUUGAUGUUUUCCAUAGCAUGUUGGCUGUUUGAUAAGUGGUGGGAGUUUCCUCAGCACUUCAAGGAAUGGAGGUUCUCAGCCCAGUGUCUUCUUAUUUUGCAAAAUUCCCAUUCAUCUAUACAAGGUUGCCAAGCCAUGAGAAGAUAUUUGCUGUGUGUUCUACAAAUAGAGGCUCACAAUGCAGCAGAGCCACCAUCAUUUGCCAGGCAGUGCAGGGACUAUCAGGGAACAUGCACCACAGAUUCUCUGGAUGGCCUCUGUCACUGCAACCACAAUAGCAAGGGAAGGGACACUGUUAGGACCCAAAAUAUUCUGACCCAAGGCAGAAAGCCACCUCAGCCUCUGGAGAAAGGUUGCUGCCGCAAACUCUGGCUUAGGACUGGGAAGAAAAUUGUUUUCUGUGGUUGUCACAGUGUGAUAGUACUGGGAAAGCUGGAGAUCACACAGAAACUGAAAAAACCCACAAGAACCCACAAACCCACAAACAAGCCCACAAACAAACAAAACUCCACUCUCACAGUAAGUUAAGGAUCAGAUUAUUCCUAUUUUAACUUUGGUGAUUCAUCCAACCAGGUUCUUCCAACAAGAUUCCUGCACAAAGUGCUUGAGGUGUCUAAAGAGCUAAGGCCUUGGGGUCUGGAAACGUUUAGUUAAAAUUUUGGCUCUUUCACUUCCUUGUGCAGUUUCCAGCUGGCUAAUUCACAUUUCAGUGCCUCAGAUGGUUCAUCAGCAAGUCAGAGUGACAGCAGUGUCCCCACAGAAGUAGUGAUGGGGAAUAAAACAAUGUUCCUAGAUAUGUAGAUUCUUAACAAUGAAAAAACAAAGGAGAAAAAUAUGUUUAUUUUAAUGAUGCAGUAGCUAUAUAAAAGAUUGUGAUCUCGGCUAGCUAAGAAAUAUUGCUCCUAAUGACUUUGUGAGGUAAGAUUUUUAAUUAGUUUCAAGUUGACAGCUGUUGGUUAUAGUCAUCUGGGUAUGUAUUUGUAUAUCUAAAGAUUAUGGUAAAUUACUUCUUUUGAUGCCUGUAUUAAAUCAUAUUUAAAGGGUGGGUUGACUGUUAUGUGCAACAAAAAGGAUAGAGUUUGUUCUGUCCAUGGGGAUGUAACUCCAAAUCUGUGGCCAGCUGUUCUGAGGGGCUUUACAAAGCCAUAAACAAGUUUAAAAUGCAGUUUGGAGAAAUAUUAUUCUUGGUCAGUCCUAUGUGAAAGUUCAUUGAAGGAUUGUGAGCACUAUCCCUUACUCCUGAAGAAAGACCCCUGCUGUCCUCAUAGACAAAAAUCUUGUCUAAUCUCAACAGCACUUUGGGAUAGCUAGUGCCGUUGGGCCAAGGGAUCUGGCUUUGUUUUUGCAUUGACCUCCAAGGCUGCUCUGUAUGGCUUUGUUUUCUUGCAUAACAUUUCCCACAAUGUAAAAAAGAAGGAUGGCUUUGUUUUGUUAUGGAGAUAGGCAUAAAUAUUAAGAACAGACACAGAUAAAACAAUAAACAUUCUUAACUGAA